This is a long non-coding RNA of Harmonia axyridis, 1885 nucleotides long. RefSeq lists it as uncharacterized. The transcript is spliced from 5 exons. Lineage: Eukaryota; Metazoa; Arthropoda; Insecta; Coleoptera; Coccinellidae. The record is from RefSeq and is a predicted model, not a curated record.
AUAUAUAUAUAUAUUUUUUUUCCUCUUCACCAUAUAGGGUUGGACUCUUCGCUGCCGGGCAGAUUCUGCCAAAGCAGGUCAGAGGGAUGUCAGGAACUUCCUCACCAGUCUUGUGUUCGCGAGGAUAACUUCUUUUUGGGCUGCGCUGAUGACCUCCUCGUCCAAUUCCAAUCUCUGUGUAUUCUCAACCAGAUGUUUCUCGACCAAUCCAUUUGUUGACAUGACCAGAGGCAGUAUUGUUGUUGACUUUAAGUUGUAGAUAGUCUUCAGUUCAAAAGCCAGAUCAUGGUAUUUUGUCAACUUUUCGAUGAACGUUUUGCUCAGGUUAUCGUCGGCCGGGAUAGCGACGUCCAUAAUCACCACUGUUUUUUCCUUCUUGUUAUGAAGUAGGAUAUCCGGUCUGUUAUGUUUGACUGGUCUGUCCGUCGUGAUGAAAGUAUCCCAGUAUAGCUUGUAGCUUUCGUUCUCAAGGACGCUACUUGGCUGAUACUCAAACGGUCUUAAUGUCCUUUUUAUAAGGCCGUAUUUUUUAGCGAUAGCCUGGUGAUAAACCUUCGCCAUCUCAUUAUGCCGUUGAGUAUAAUCCGUUGGCGCCAGCACACUACAUGAGGAAGUCACGUGUUGGAUGGAUUCUAUUGCCUGUGAACACUUGCGACAUCUGUCUGGCUCCAGGGUACCUUCCGUGGAGUGCCUUGCUUCGCCACUCCUGGGUGAGUCCCUCCAUGGUAAGCUCAGGAGGUUCCAGCUGGCCCGCCAAGUUCAAUGGGCUCAAGUUAUCAUCUUCUUGAAGAAGUGCUUGGUGAAAGGGUUGAGUAGGCCCCGGCCUCCCUCAUUUCUCGGGAUAUACAACCUGUUCACGGAUGAGCGUGGAUGAUGGAUUCCAUGUGUUCCUGUCACAGAUUUCAAUUACCCUUUGCCUGAAGUGAUGGUCAUGGGACUUGAUUUUGAAUUCCGACGCUAUUUGUCGUGUUCGUUUCCCGACUCUGCUGGAAGGAGUUUCAGUGUUCAGACGUUUCUUCCAAGGUGGUGGUGUUUCCUUUCUCAUCGGUUUGACAGAGUCCGUGAUCUUUAUGCCCAACUCUACGCAAACUGUGAUUGCCCCUGCAUAUACAAGGUCUACUACCUCCUCUAUUUUUGCGAUGGUUGGCAAAUUCUGCUGGAUUAUCUCAUUCACCUCCUGCACCUUCUUCAGCAUGAUUUUGGAGCCUUUCAUUCUAGGUAUCCUAGGCCUCUUUUCAGGUGGAAUCCCAGCAUACAUCAUGUAUUUUUCAAGUAGCUUUUGUUGUAAUUUGCUUGUUUUAGGUACAGCGCUUUCUCUUGGUAGUUGACUUGGGAUGUCUUCUGCAGACUCGUCAGCAGAACUCGGUGUGGCGCCUCGUGGGUAACAGCUGAGCAUUAUGCUGUUCAGUUCGAUUUCGGUGAACUGCUCAUUAUCCAACAUCCAUCUUACUCUAUUGCUCAAAAGGUUGGCGUACGACUGUUUAUGUGGAUUGAUCUCGUUCCACACAUUCGUGAGGGUCUGCCUAUAAUUCAUGCCCUUGUUCCGUUCCAAUUCCUUUGCGAUGUAAUGAACACGUAAUAGGAGGAUGUUUUCCUCUUCGUUCCAGCGUGUUCUCCCAUCUCGUCUUGGAGCGUCAGCGGGGCGGGUAUUUAAUCCGUCCAAGCUUAUGCUCCUCCUCAAUCUGCCGAACAGGCUCGAGACCUGGCUUACGGUGCCGUCUCGGGGAGCUGCGCCGCUCGCCCCACAGCUUACCCCAACAGGCUCUUCCUCCGGACGGUUCCGAAGAGGGCCAGCCCGCUGCCCUCUACCGCCCUGGACCAUGCUUCUUGUUAUAGGAGCAACUAUUUCAUCAGUUCCCAGGCUGCUAACCUGAAAACUGGUUGA